This is a non-coding RNA of Cinara cedri, 734 nucleotides long. Lineage: Eukaryota; Metazoa; Arthropoda; Insecta; Hemiptera; Aphididae. The record is from the annotation of a GenBank genome assembly.
ACUAUAGAGUUUAGUACUAUAGUCUGUUUUAUUACUCACAGUGCUAUAUUUUUCAAGAAGUCGUUUUAAAAAAAAAUAUAUAUUUCAAAUAAUUUCGCGGCACCCUGGUUGGGAAACUGGCUUACACAUUAGACGCGUUUCUUAAAGAUAUAAAGCGCGCCAAUACUUUGUAUUUUGCGAUAUACUCGCAUUGUUACUAUAUAUUGUACAUGACCACAUGUGCAGUACUUUGCGUUGCAAUCCACUGUUAUUUAGUUCAAUAUUUUUAAAUAUGAAAAGCUUAAACGAUGUAGAAGCUGCGUGCGUUAUGCUUGCACUAUACUGUGAAUAUGAACAAAAACAAUAGAAAAAAAAGUGAAAUGGCGACAUUAGGUUCAUUCUUUAAUCUAAAAAGACCAGAAAAUGUAUCUUCAUUCGACACCUCAAGAAUAAACUCUUCAGUGUCAAACAUCUUAAUAAUAUAAAUGGAUACAAUUUGUACGGGAAUCGUUCAAGUUUGAAGGCACAAAUUAUGGACACUUAUCAAUCGUAUACAUACCGAAAAUAUAAAGUGUACAAUUUUUUUUUUGUAUAGAGCGAGAAGGCGCCCUUAGAAUCUAGGGGUUUUGUGCUUGUAUCGCUCUUAUUUUAUAAAUUUUAUAUUUCUUUAUACUUUUUUUUCGGUUUUGUUUUAUUAUUAAUACUGUUUGCUAAAAUUAAAAAUAAUAAAAUCUGUAUUGCUCCAAAGCGCGCUG